GAAGGCUUUAGCUUAAUAAAAGCAUUUGAGUUGCAUUCAGGAGAUGUAAAUUAGUAUUUUACAAGUCUUA
This 70-nucleotide transfer RNA is filed under the name Anolis smallwoodi. RNAcentral describes it as "tRNA-Ala". It matches the Rfam family "tRNA". Rfam says of the family: Transfer RNA (tRNA) molecules are approximately 80 nucleotides in length. Their secondary structure includes four short double-helical elements and three loops (D, anti-codon, and T loops). Lineage: Eukaryota; Metazoa; Chordata; Lepidosauria; Squamata; Anolidae. The record is from RNAcentral. RNAcentral also lists the same sequence under 2 other names.